Molecule: long non-coding RNA, 260 nt
Filed under: Lathyrus oleraceus (garden pea)
Lineage: Eukaryota; Viridiplantae; Streptophyta; Magnoliopsida; Fabales; Fabaceae
Description: Pisum sativum (pea) long non-coding RNA (PSAT_LNC016547)
Source: RNAcentral
UUGGCAAGGUGCGCUUCAGUUGACCAGGGAGCAUGGUAGGCGCGCGCUUCAUGACCUCAUGAUCUGCCAGCUCAAUUAAUGAGCUCAGAUCAAACAGUCCACGCAUUUUCCUAUUUUCUACUUUUUGAUUUUAAUUCUUUUAUUUCUUUUAAUUCCAUUUCUUUUUAAAAAUUCAUAUCUCUCUCAUUAUUGGUCCAAAAAUUAUGAGACCAAUUUCAUUUUCCUCCUUUUAAUUUCUACUUUCUAAAAAUGAUUUUUAA